UACGGGGGGGGCAAGCGUUGUUCGGAAUUACUGGGCGUAAAGGGCUCGUAGGUGGCCAACUAAGUCAGACGUGAAAUCCCUCAACUUAACCGGGAAACUGCGUCUGAUACUGGUUGGCUUGAGUUUGGGAGAGGGAUGCGGAAUUCCAGGUGUAGCGGUGAAAUGCGUAGAUAUCGGGAGGAACACCAGAGGCGAAGGCGGCUUCCUGGACCGGUCCUGACACUGAGGAGCGAAAGCGUGGGGAGCGAUCCGG
Molecule: ribosomal RNA, 253 nt
Filed under: uncultured bacterium
Lineage: Bacteria
Description: partial 16S ribosomal RNA
Rfam family: Bacterial small subunit ribosomal RNA
Source: RNAcentral